This 447-nucleotide ribosomal RNA is filed under the name uncultured organism. Its description in RNAcentral is "partial 16S ribosomal RNA". It matches the Rfam family "Bacterial small subunit ribosomal RNA", at positions 334 to 797 of the family's 1533-position model. The record is from RNAcentral.
CACUCCUGCGGGAGGCAGCAGUGGGGAAUCUUGCGCAAUGGGCGAAAGCCUGACGCAGCCAUGCCGCGUGAAUGAUGAAGGUCUUCGGAUUGUAAAAUUCUUUCACCGGGGACGAUAAUGACGGUACCCGGAGAAGAAGCCCCGGCUAACUUCGUGCCAGCAGCCGCGGUAAUACGAAGGGGGCUAGCGUUGCUCGGAAUUACUGGGCGUAAAGGGAGCGUAGGCGGACAUUUAAGUCAGGGGUGAAAUCCCGGGGCUCAACCUCGGAAUUGCCUUUGAUACUGGGUGUCUUGAGUAUGAGAGAGGUGUGUGGAACUCCGAGUGUAGAGGUGAAAUUCGUAGAUAUUCGGAAGAACACCAGUGGCGAAGGCGACACACUGGCUCAUUACUGACGCUGAGGCUCGAAAGCGUGGGGAGCAAACAGGAUUAGAUACCCUAGUAGUCCCA